RNAcentral lists this transfer RNA (72 nucleotides) under Gyrinomimus myersi. RNAcentral's name for it is "tRNA-Thr". It matches the Rfam family "tRNA". Rfam says of the family: Transfer RNA (tRNA) molecules are approximately 80 nucleotides in length. The record is from RNAcentral. Lineage: Eukaryota; Metazoa; Chordata; Actinopteri; Beryciformes; Cetomimidae. RNAcentral also lists the same sequence under 1 other name.
GCCCUAGUAGUUCAGAGCAAGAACAUUGGCCUUGUAAGCCAAAUGUCGGAGGCUAAAUUCCUCCCUAGCGCU